This 2195-nucleotide long non-coding RNA is filed under the name Homo sapiens (human). RNAcentral's name for it is "HSALNT0203350". Lineage: Eukaryota; Metazoa; Chordata; Mammalia; Primates; Hominidae. The record is from RNAcentral.
GUUUCUUUCAGCAAAUAGGGGGUCCAGAGAACGAAGAGAGAUAUAAGGGUAUAGUGGUCAGUGGAGCAGUCAAAAGAUACACAUCAUCAAUUCAGUUCACUCUUUUAUAUGGAUGUGGGUCAUGGCAUCCCAAAACAAUUUUAUUAGGAACAUCAAAGAUCACUGAUUACAUAUGACCAUUGUGAUGCUUAAUAUUGAAUGUCAAAUUGAUUGGAUUGAAGGAUGCAGAGUAUUGUUCCUGGGUGUGUCUGUGAGGGUGUUGAAAAGGAGAUUAACAUGUGAGUCAGUGGGAUGAGAGAGGCAGACCCACCCUCAAUCUGCGUGGGCACCCUCUAAUCAGCUGCCAAGGUGGCUAGGAUAAAAGGAGGCAGAAGAACGUGGGAGGACGGGACUGGCUGAAUCUUCGGCCUUCGUCUUUCUGCCAUGCUGGAUGCUUCCUGCCCUUGAACAUCAGACUCCAAAUUCUUCAGCUUUUGGACUCGUAGACCUACACCAGUGGUUUGCCAGGGACUCUAGGACCUUCAGCCACAGACUGAAGGCUGCACUGUCGGCUUCCCUACUUUGGAGAUUUUGGGACUCGGACUGUCUGCCUUGCUCCUCAGCUUGCAGAUAACCUAUUGUGGGAUUUACCUUGAGAUCAUAUAGAAACAGUUACUGGAGUUCUGUAGACCAUGUUCCACCUCUGCAUAUUGCAUUUUUUGGAGAGCAGGUAACCUGUAUUAUUAGUUCAUAAGUCUCUGGAUCAAGAAAAGCCAAAUAUAUCCUGAUGUGGGAGACUACUGUGCAUUAACUUCUGAUAGAGAUAACACAUAAUCCAAAGGUAGUGGAUUUUGAGCUAUCUCAUAAAUUGAUAGGGUUUUAAACUCUUUCAUUUAGAUAGAGGAGUUCAUUUUUUGCAUAGAAAGGAAAGAGAACUGAAUAUGUUAUUUGUGGUAGAGGCUUCUAAUGCUUACCUAUAUCUGUAGAUGGCUAUAUGAACAUGUUUCUUAUCAAGCUGCAUGAUCAUAUAACCAUCUACAGAUACCAAGUGAAUGGGACAAAGUAGCCCUUGUUUAUAUUCACCACUUAAAUUUUACUAUUGGUGGCUUCCCUGGUAAUGCCCAGAUAUACAAUUACUGCUGAAAUGGCAAAGUCAUGUCACUCUAACUGUAAGUUGUUUGUAGAAGUAGCAUGAUUAACAGCCUUCCAUUCCUGAGAAAGAACAUUGAGCACACUUUUCCUAUGAAUUAGUGAACCAUGAUAUAUCGUAUGGAAAAAUUAACUUUAGUUAUGUUAAGAUCACACUACCAUACUCUGUCAUUUCAGUUUAACAUAGGGCACCUUGAUAGAUAUCUCAGCAUGAAACAAAUACAACUUAGAUAAAUUAAAACAUACACUUAAUAUACUAAAAGUUUAUACAAAAGUAAAUGAAUAGACAAAGGAACACAAAUAAUUCAGUAAAACUAAAAUCAGAAUAGAAAAUGAACAGGAGACCUAAUGCCAGGAAAUGAUUGCUUUGGGAAAGAACAGCCUUAUGCGGUGGAAGACUGUUUUAAAACUUGCGUGUUCUGAAAUUAAUUAAAGUGAGCUUGAGAAUUCUGCAUUAAUUCCAAAACCCAUCCACCUCUAAAUAAAACAACAAAACAAUAUGUUUUCUUGUCCUCAUAUUAAGUGGAAAAAAAUUAAUAAAACUGGUUAUUCCUAGAAGUUGUUGAAAUAGAUCUCCACUUAUAUGGUUUCUAUUUAAUAUAACAAACACUAUAUGAUAUGGAAAAUUCCCAACAUAAAACUUAAAUCUAAGUAGACUAUGUUAUAUAGAAAUCACUAGUUCCACCAUUUCAAACUCAUUUUAGGAAAACAAACAAUAGCAACACUAAGGAUUGUGAACACUGGGAUUAUCAGAUAUGGAACAUAAAAUUACCUAAUAACUGAAAUUAUAAACCCAAUGAAUGAAUUGAUAAAACAAUAGAUUAGAUCAGGCUGAACAUGAAAGUAGUAAAAUGGAAAAUAUAUGUUAAGAAAUCGAAUACAUAGAAAAUACAUAGAAAUAAACAAUAUGUUGAUAGGCAUGAGUGGAGUUAAUGUUAGUAGUCAAGAUUUCUAACAUAAAUAUAACUGGAAUUACAUAAAAAUAAUAAAAAAGUGCCAGGCGAGGUGGCUUACCCCUGUAAUUCCAACACUUUGGGAGGCCGAGGUAGGCAGAUCACGAAGUCAAG